AUUGAACGCUGGCGGCAGGCCUAACACAUGCAAGUCGAGCGGAUGAACGGAGCUUGCUCCUGGAUUCCGCGGCGGACGGGUGAGUAAUGCCUAGGAAUCUGCCUGGUAUUUGGGGAUAACGUCCGUACACGGGCUCUAAUACCGCAUACGUCCUGAGGGAGAACGUGGUGGAUCUUCGGACCUCACGCUAUCAGCUGAGCCUAGGUCGUAUUAGCUAGUUGGUGGGGUAAAGGCCUACCAAGGCGACGAUCCGUAACUGGUCUGAGAGGAUGAUCAGUCACACUGGAACUGAGACACGGUCCAGACUCCUACGGGAGGCAGCAGUGGGGAAUAUUGGGCAAUGGGCGAAAGCCUGAUGCAGCCAUGCCGCGUGUGUGAAGAAGGUCUUCGGAUUGUAAAGCACUUUAAGUUGGGAGGAAGGGAAGUAAGUUAAUACCUUGAUGUUUUGACGUUACCAACAGAAUAAGCACCGGCUAACUUCGUG
RNAcentral lists this ribosomal RNA (484 nucleotides) under uncultured bacterium. RNAcentral's name for it is "partial 16S ribosomal RNA". It matches the Rfam family "Bacterial small subunit ribosomal RNA", at positions 30 to 507 of the family's 1533-position model. The record is from RNAcentral.